GCACUACUGAGGAGUCCAACGAUAGGAUGAAACGGCCGUCUAGUGU
Molecule: non-coding RNA, 46 nt
Organism: Schistosoma mattheei
Lineage: Eukaryota; Metazoa; Platyhelminthes; Trematoda; Strigeidida; Schistosomatidae
Source: Rfam